CACACUAUCAUUAACUGAAUCCAUAGGUUAAUGAGGCGAACCGGGGGAACUGAAACAUCUAAGUACCCCGAGGAAAAGAAAUCAACCGAGAUUCCCCCAGUAGCGGCGAGCGAACGGGGAGGAGCCCAGAGCCUGAAUCAGUGUGUGUGUUAGUGGAAGCGUCUGGAAAGGCGCGCGAUACAGGGUGACAGCCCCGUACACAAAAAUGCACAUACUGUGAGCUCGAUGAGUAGGGCGGGACACGUGGUAUCCUGUCUGAAUAUGGGGGGACCAUCCUCCAAGGCUAAAUACUCCUGACUGACCGAUAGUGAACCAGUACCGUGAGGGAAAGGCGAAAAGAAC
Molecule: ribosomal RNA, 342 nt
Filed under: Escherichia coli
Lineage: Bacteria; Pseudomonadati; Pseudomonadota; Gammaproteobacteria; Enterobacterales; Enterobacteriaceae
Description: partial 23S ribosomal RNA
Rfam family: Bacterial large subunit ribosomal RNA
Source: RNAcentral